Molecule: ribosomal RNA, 160 nt
Filed under: uncultured bacterium
Lineage: Bacteria
Description: partial 16S ribosomal RNA
Rfam family: Bacterial small subunit ribosomal RNA
Source: RNAcentral
UGGGGAAUUUUGGACAAUGGGGGCAACCCUGAUCCAGCCAUGCCGCGUGCGGGAAGAAGGCCUUCGGGUUGUAAACCGCUUUUAGCCGGGACGAAAGCUGUACGGAUAACACCCGUGCAGGUUGACGGUACCGGCGGAAUAAGCACCGGCUAACUCUGUG